GCGAGGGUGGCGGAACUGGCAGACGCGCCAGACUUAGGAUCUGGUGGGCAACCAUGGGGGUUCGACUCCCCCCUCUCGCACCA
RNAcentral lists this transfer RNA (83 nucleotides) under Deltaproteobacteria bacterium. Its description in RNAcentral is "tRNA-Leu". It matches the Rfam family "tRNA". Rfam says of the family: Transfer RNA (tRNA) molecules are approximately 80 nucleotides in length. The record is from RNAcentral. Lineage: Bacteria; Pseudomonadati; Myxococcota; Myxococcia.